This 468-nucleotide ribosomal RNA is filed under the name rhizosphere soil bacterium RSC-II-2. RNAcentral's name for it is "bacterial SSU rRNA". It matches the Rfam family "Bacterial small subunit ribosomal RNA", at positions 9 to 458 of the family's 1533-position model. The record is from RNAcentral.
GAGUUUGAUCAUGGUUCAGAAUCAACGCUGGGCGGCGUGCUUCAGACAUGCAAGUCGAACGCGAAAGUCCCCUUUCGGGGGGCAAGUAGAGUGGCGCACGGGUGAGUAACACGUAGGUAAUCUACCUUUGGAUUGGGAAUAACCACCGGAAACGGUGGCUAAUACCGAAUAAUGCAGCGGCACCUAAUGGUGACAGUUGUUAAAGCGGGGGAUCGAAAGACCUCGCGUCUGAAGAGGAGCCUGCGGCAGAUUAGCUAGUUGGUAAGGUAACGGCUUACCAAGGCGAUGAUCUGUAGCCGGCCUGAGAGGGCGGUCGGCCACACUGACACUGACAUACGGGUCAGACUCCUACGGGAGGCAGCAGUCGGGAAUUCUGGGCAAUGGGCGAAAGCCUGACCCAGCAACGCCGCGUGAAGGAUGAAAUCCCUCGGGAUGUAAACUUCGCAAGAACGGGAAGAAUAAGUAAGA